UACUUGAUAUAGUUCUGGGAUAUGUUGUAGAUUAUCUCCAUUUUGCGUGUAUACCGCAUGUAGUAGUCCAUAAUUAUACAUGGUCUGUAUGAGAUUUGGGUCUGUUUUGUUUAAUGCUACUAAUUUGUUAUAUCUCUUCAACGGUUUGGUUUGCCGUCCAAUAAGUUUUUCUGGGUUAUAGUCUGGUGAUUGUAUGUUCUUGUUU
Molecule: long non-coding RNA, 205 nt
Filed under: Nicotiana benthamiana
Lineage: Eukaryota; Viridiplantae; Streptophyta; Magnoliopsida; Solanales; Solanaceae
Description: long non-coding RNA (NBEN_LNC000181)
Source: RNAcentral